This 495-nucleotide ribosomal RNA is filed under the name uncultured bacterium. RNAcentral's name for it is "partial 16S ribosomal RNA". It matches the Rfam family "Bacterial small subunit ribosomal RNA", at positions 28 to 507 of the family's 1533-position model. The record is from RNAcentral.
GACGAACGCUGGCGGCGUGCCUAAUACAUGCAGGUCGAACGACCCAGGCGGAGCUUGCUCCUCUGGAUGAGUUGCGACCGGGUGAGUAACGCGUAGGUAACCUGCCUUGCAACGGGGGAUAACUCUUCGCACCUAUAGCUACUACCGCAUACCAGUCCUUAUUGCAUUGCAUUGACUGCAACGGUGCAAUUUGGUCUCUACCAGAUGGAACUGCGUGGGAUUUGCUCGUUGGUGGGGUAACGGCUCUCCAAGGCACGGAUACAUAGCCGACCUGUGAGGGGGGUCGGCCACAACUGGACUGCGACACGGCCCAGACUCCUACGGGAGGCACCAGUAGGGAAUCUUCGGCAAUGGACGGGAGUCUGACCGAGCAGCGCCGCGUGAGUGAAGAAGGUUCUCGGAUCGUAAAGCUCUGUUGUAAGAGAAGAACGAGUGUGAGAGUGGAAAGUUCACACUGUGACGGUAUCUUACCAGAAAGGGACGGCUAACUACGUG